UGCUCCCUGGAACUCUGGAUGGGAGCUGAGUGGUGUUACACAACCCACCCAUGGACACCAUCACAAAUCUGUUCCUCCACUUUGCCUCUCGGGAAGGAACCGGACCUCUCAGCCCUGCACAGAGAGGGUUUGGAAUCUCACAUUCCAAAACACCUAGUGCUGUCUGCUCCUCAGGAGCAUAAUAAACCAAGAGGGAAGAUGCCCUGCAGACUGGUGCUGUAUCCUCUGAAGUUUGUCUGCUUAAUGCUCUGAAGUGCCUUCCAGCCUGGAUUAUCCUUGAUCCCAGAGUAUGGUGAAGUUGUGGAAUCCUCCUACACACAAUUUGAAAUCAGGGAUGAAAACAAGGAUGACCCAUCUUCCAGGCUAGAAGCAUAAAACUGCCUCAAAGCAUCCUGAAACACAGCUCAGUAAAAGGCA
Passer domesticus (house sparrow) is the source of this 417-nucleotide long non-coding RNA. RefSeq lists it as uncharacterized. The transcript has 3 exons. Lineage: Eukaryota; Metazoa; Chordata; Aves; Passeriformes; Passeridae. The record is from RefSeq and is a predicted model, not a curated record.